This 441-nucleotide ribosomal RNA is filed under the name uncultured bacterium. Its description in RNAcentral is "bacterial SSU rRNA". It matches the Rfam family "Bacterial small subunit ribosomal RNA", at positions 28 to 507 of the family's 1533-position model. The record is from RNAcentral.
GAUGAACGCUGGCGGUAUGCCUAAUACAUGCAAGUCGUGCGGAAAGGCCCCUUCGGGGGUACUCGAGCGGCGGACGGCAGAGUAACGCGUAGGAACAUACCCCAAACUGAGGGAUAACUGCUCGAAAGAGUAGCUAAUACCGCAUGUGGUCUUCGGACUAAAGCUUCGGCGGUUUGGGAAUGGCCUGCGUUCGAUUAGCUAGUUGGUGAGGUAAAUGCUCACCAAGGCGACGAUCGGUAGCUGGUCUGAGAGGAUGAUCAGCCUGACUGGAACUGAGAACGGUCCAGACUCCUACGGGAGGCAGCAGUAGGGAAUUUUCCACAAUGGGCGAAAGCCUGAUGGAGCAACGCCGCGUGCAGGAUGAAUGCCUUCGGGUUGUAAACUGCUUUAUUAGUGAAGAAUAUGACGGUAACUAAUGAAUAAGGGUCGGCUAACUACGUG